RNAcentral lists this ribosomal RNA (514 nucleotides) under uncultured bacterium. RNAcentral's name for it is "bacterial SSU rRNA". It matches the Rfam family "Bacterial small subunit ribosomal RNA", at positions 14 to 518 of the family's 1533-position model. The record is from RNAcentral.
CGAUCCUGGCUCAGAACGAACGCUGGCGGCGCGUUUAAGCAUGCAAGUCGAGCGGCAAGGGCCUUCGGGCCCCUAGAGCGGCGGACGGGUGAGUAACACGUGGACAAUCUGCCCCCCGGCCCGGGAUAGCCCAGGGAAACCUGGAUUAAUACCGGAUGAGACGGGACCCGCGAUGGCGGGAUCCGGGAAAGGCGCUGCGGCGCCGCCGGGGGAUGAGUCUGCGUCCCAUUAGCUAGACGGCGGGGUAACGGCCCACCGUGGCGACGAUGGGUAGCCGGCCUGAGAGGGUGGACGGCCACAUUGGAACUGAGACACGGUCCAGACUCCUACGGGAGGCAGCAGCAAGAAUCUUCCGCAAUGGGCGAAAGCCUGACGGAGCCGACGCCGCGUGAACGAAGAAGGCCGUGAGGUUGUAAAGUUCUUUUCGGGAGGGGGAACAACCGUGGCAGGGGAAUGGCCGCGGGAUGACGUGAAUCCCGGAAUAAGCCCCGGCUAACUACGUGCCAGCCGCUGC